RNAcentral lists this ribosomal RNA (619 nucleotides) under uncultured bacterium. RNAcentral's name for it is "bacterial SSU rRNA". It matches the Rfam family "Bacterial small subunit ribosomal RNA", at positions 338 to 947 of the family's 1533-position model. The record is from RNAcentral.
CCUACGGGAGGCAGCAGUGGGGAAUCUUGCGCAAUGCGCGAAAGCGUGACGCAGCAACGCCGCGUGAGGGAAGACGGCCUUCGGGUUGUAAACCUCUUUCAGUUGGGACGAAGCCACGGCGGUUAAUACCCGUCUGUGGUGACGGUACCUUCAGAAGAAGCCCCGGCUAACUACGUGCCAGCAGCCGCGGUAAUACGUAGGGGGCAAGCGUUGUCCGGAAUCAUUGGGCGUAAAGCGCGUGUAGGCGGCUUGGUAAGUCCGCUCUGAAAGCCCGGGGCUCAACCCCGGGAGGCGGGUGGAUACUGUCAAGCUCGAGUCCGGAAGAGGCGAGUGGAAUUCCUGGUGUAGCGGUGAAAUGCGCAGAUAUCAGGAGGAACACCAAUGGCGAAGGCAGCUCGCUGGGACGUGACUGACGCUGAGACGCGAAAGCGUGGGGAGCAAACAGGAUUAGAUACCCUGGUAGUCCACGCCGUAAACGAUGGGCACUAGGUGUGGGAGGUGUCGACUCCUCCCGUGCCGAAGCUAACGCAUUAAGUGCCCCGCCUGGGGAGUACGGCCGCAAGGCUAAAACNCAAAGGAAUUGACGGCGNGAGAGNGCGAGACGACGACGAGGGAGAGG